GAUCCUGGCUCAGGAUGAACGCUGGCGGCGUGCUUAACACAUGCAAGUCGAACGAAGCACUUUAUUUGAUUUCCUUCGGGACUGAUUAUUUGUGACUGAGUGGCGGACGGGUGAGUAACGCGUGGGUAACCUGCCUUGUACAGGGGGAUAACAGUUGGAAACGGCUGCUAAUACCGCAUAAGCGCACAGCAUCGCAUGAUGCAGUGUGAAAAACUCCGGUGGUAUAAGAUGGACCCGUCGG
This 241-nucleotide ribosomal RNA is filed under the name uncultured bacterium. RNAcentral describes it as "partial 16S ribosomal RNA". It matches the Rfam family "Bacterial small subunit ribosomal RNA", at positions 15 to 236 of the family's 1533-position model. The record is from RNAcentral.